UAAACUAAGUGGCCAAGUUUAUAUUUUAAGGUAGUAAUGUAUUAAGGCGUAAUUUAUUAAUAAAAAUUAAUUUAAUAUUUAUAGGUGAAAUUUAUAUAUGUUAGGUAAUUUUAAUUUUUUAUUUAUUUGCUUAAUUACGAAGGUUUAAAUAGAAACUAGGAUUAGAUACCCUAUUAUUUUUACUUGUAAAUUUUAAUUUACCAGGGUAGUAUUAGUUAUUAAACUUGAAACUUAAAAGACUUGGCGGUGUUUAAGAAAAUUUAGGGGAGCUUGUUUCUUAAUCGAUAAUCCACGUUAAACCUAACUUUUCUAAUUAGUUUGUAUAUCGUCGUCUUUAGUUGACUUUUAAAGAARUAAUUAGUUAGCUUAAKAGUUUUUAGCUAAAAUGUCAGAUCAAGGUGCAGCUUAUGGAGAAGGGAAAAUGAGCUACGAUUAUAAUAUUUAUUUCUAAUAAUUUUUUAAAUAGUAUUAAUUUAAAGUUGGACUUAAAAGUAAUGGUAUUAAUUAUUUAUAUAAAUGCUUUGAAUUUUAUUCUUAAAUGCGU
RNAcentral lists this ribosomal RNA (544 nucleotides) under Hydroginella sp. MNHN-IM-2013-51961. RNAcentral's name for it is "partial 12S ribosomal RNA". Lineage: Eukaryota; Metazoa; Mollusca; Gastropoda; Neogastropoda; Marginellidae. The record is from RNAcentral.